This 1320-nucleotide long non-coding RNA is filed under the name Rattus norvegicus (Norway rat). Its description in RNAcentral is "long non-coding RNA NONRATT004900". The record is from RNAcentral. Lineage: Eukaryota; Metazoa; Chordata; Mammalia; Rodentia; Muridae.
AGGCCCAAAAAAGCAUACAGCACCGGAUUGAGGCUGCAGCGGACUAAGGUCAAGCCUCCGGUGACCAGCAGAGCUAAAUCCUUGCGCUUGCUGGAGGAGCAGCUCCGCUCACGGGCUGCCAGUAGAUCGGCUGUAUCCAGCAGCAGGGCGAGGCUGUAGGGCAACUGCAGCACCACGAAGGCCACCACCAAGGCCACCACGACGCGCAGUGCACGCCGCCGCUCUGGCCCCCUGGCGGCCAGAAGCGUGCGGCCCAGGAGCGCAUAACAGGCUGCCAUGACACCCAGAGGCAGCGCGAAGCCGAGGACCACCUGCGCCACGGCGCUUGCCCCUUUCACAGUCUGCGUGAGGCUUUCGGGAAAAAGGAGCCGACAGCGUCGUUGGCCUUCCCGUGGCCCGUCCCGGCUGAAAAGGAGCGCAGGUAGAGCCAGAAGCAGCGACAACAGCCACACGAAGACUGAGACCAAGUGGGCACGGCUAGGCGUGGAGGGCCGCUGCCCUGCUGGGAGAGCUCUUGUGAUGGCCACAUAGCGGUCGGCGCUGAUGCAGGCUAGGAAGAGGAAGCCUGCGUGGAAGGAGGCCGAGUAGAGGCCUGAGAUGGCACGGCAGGUGGUACUUCCUAAAUUCCAGCCCUGAAGAGCCCCUGCUGCAGCAAAAGGCAAGGUCAGGGCCAAUAAGAGGUCAGCCAGGGCCAACUGGAGCAGGUGAACGGAGGUGGGAGAUCGGGUAGUUCGGCGGGCUGCCAGAUGGGUGGCCAAGACUAAGCCAUUGCCCACCAAACCCAGCACAGCCACCAUCAGGGAGACACUGGGUUGGAAGGCCCGACUAAAAGCCUGGACAUCGGCCUUGUAACAGAGCUCCGGCAGCGGCCCAGCUGAAUAAGCCUCCUCCUCAUACCCGGAGUAAGGUCCCCAGGAGACCUGAUGGCAUCAAAAUGAGAAGAGGGACCGUGUAAGACACAUUCCUACACCUCUCCCUCUCACACACUAGUCCCUCACUUGAAGCCUCGACACCAGCAGAAGACGCAUAUACUCUUUCCAGAUUCUUGCUAGUGUACCCUGAGCAGGCAGUUAAGCUUCUCUUGCAGUCUCCCUAGCUCUGCUUCGAGCUUCCCCCGGGUGACCUUGAGCAGCCACUGACUCUUUCUGGAUGCCACUUACCAAAUGUGUUCUACCCAGUGUAGAGGUCCUUCCUAUUCACCCCAUGGGGCAAGGUUAGCAGUGAGCACGGUUGAAACCAUGAAAGAUAACAGACAACGGAAACAUCUAACUCCCCCUAGACCAAGCAUUUGUAUUAUUAAUAAAUCUCAGCUCUUCUGUU